RNAcentral lists this unclassified non-coding RNA (309 nucleotides) under Zea mays. RNAcentral describes it as "misc RNA Zm00001eb033430". Lineage: Eukaryota; Viridiplantae; Streptophyta; Magnoliopsida; Poales; Poaceae. The record is from RNAcentral.
CUGGGCGGCGGAGGGGAGGACGGCGCCUCGGUCGGCGUCUGCCCGAUAGAGCUCGGCGCCGGCGGCGAGGCGGGGGCGGGUACCGUGGCAUUGGGCGCCGGAGCUGGAGCGGUCUUCUGGGUCGGGGAUGGCGCGGGACGAGGAGGCGCCGAGGUCGCCGGAGGCUGCGCCAUGGGCGCGGGCAUCGUGGACGCGCCCGGUGCCUGCGCCGUCGUCAAGGCCAAGAGCAAGCCCAUUGCCACGGCCACGAGGUGGAGGCGCGCCAUUGGAUUGGAUCAGGAGGGGAGACGGUGGCGGCGACUGCGGUAG